This 70-nucleotide transfer RNA is filed under the name Mesobacillus boroniphilus JCM 21738. It matches the Rfam family "tRNA". From Rfam's summary of the family: Transfer RNA (tRNA) molecules are approximately 80 nucleotides in length. Their secondary structure includes four short double-helical elements and three loops (D, anti-codon, and T loops). The record is from Rfam by way of RNAcentral. Lineage: Bacteria; Bacillati; Bacillota; Bacilli; Caryophanales; Bacillaceae.
GCGGGUGUAGUUUAGUGGUAAAACCUCAGCCUUCCAAGCUGAUGAUGAGGUUCGAUUCCCUUCACCCGCU